This is a long non-coding RNA of Thunnus maccoyii (southern bluefin tuna), 843 nucleotides long. RefSeq lists it as uncharacterized. The record is from RefSeq and is a predicted model, not a curated record. Lineage: Eukaryota; Metazoa; Chordata; Actinopteri; Scombriformes; Scombridae. The transcript has 5 exons.
UGCUCACUCACUGCCGAUCUGAAGCAUCUCUCAAUCCUCGUAAAAUGUAAGCGAUACUCACAAAGGACAGUUCUUGAAUGGUUGAAUCAGGGGCAUAGAUACUAGGAGUUCUGCUUCCUGAGAGAAUAUUGGUCCGGGCUUUCCUUAAUUAACUUGCAGAAAUUUUCGUGGGCCAUCUCCAACCGUGGGCCCCCAGAAUCAUCAACACCUUUCACCUCACCAGUGAAGAUGCAGGGAAGUCCUAAAGUCAUUUUAUGGCCGCAGAAGCAAACAGCGAAGAAUGUUUAGCUGACAGACAGAUCUACAGUUUCAGAGGCUGAGGACUUAGCGCUGCGGGACAAAUUUCAUGGUCUGGAUUGUCACCGCAUCGGGGUUGAGACAAGGGCCAUUCCAAUACCUCACCUACCCACCUCAAGAUCCUCAGUCAGGUGACAGGAGGUAAGAAAACACCCCUGGUCCUUCCCAGAUAUACCACGAAUGACUUCUCCAACAGGAGCCCGUAUUGGUUUAUUACUCCAUGCACUGUCAGUGCUGUUCCUCUAACCAAGACUGGGGUCAGCACCUGUGGAUAUCACACCAUGCGGCUGUAGAAGGAUGUCAAAACGUGCCAAUCCCCCAUCCAGGCUUAGCAAUUUUAGGAAUUUCUAGGGUGUUAUUGUUGCAUUAGAGGUCCUUAGCCCAUUACUGCUGACAGCUAAACCACCCAGGUGCUUGUAUUGUCUUUAUUGUUGGAAUUAUUCACUCAAACAGUGACGAAAACAUUGAGGUGAGAGCGAAUUUUUAACCGUUGCAUUAUUGUUUGCAAAGUUGCCUUUUUCAUCAAAGUAAAUCACACAUCCUUGU